CAGUAGCCGCGGUAAUACGUAGGGUGCAAGCGUUAAUCGGAAUUACUGGGCGUAAAGCGUGCGCAGGCGGUUUCGUAGGACAGAUGUGAAAUCCCCGGGCUUAACCUGGGAACUGCAUUUGUGACUGCGAGGCUAGAGUGUGUCAGAGGGGGGUGGAAUUCCACGUGUAGCAGUGAAAUGCGUAGAUAUGUGGAGGAACACCGAUGGCGAAGGCAGCCCCCUGGGAGAACACUGACGCUCAUGCACGAAAGCGUGGGGAGCAAACAGGAUUAGAUACCCCCGUAGUCCCUGUCUCUUAUAC
RNAcentral lists this ribosomal RNA (301 nucleotides) under uncultured bacterium. Its description in RNAcentral is "partial 16S ribosomal RNA". It matches the Rfam family "Bacterial small subunit ribosomal RNA", at positions 509 to 807 of the family's 1533-position model. The record is from RNAcentral.